This 388-nucleotide ribosomal RNA is filed under the name uncultured bacterium. RNAcentral describes it as "bacterial SSU rRNA". It matches the Rfam family "Bacterial small subunit ribosomal RNA", at positions 30 to 417 of the family's 1533-position model. The record is from RNAcentral.
AUUGAACGCUGGCGGCAUGCCUUACACAUGCAAGUCGAACGGCAGCACGGGAGCAAUCCUGGUGGCGAGUGGCGAACGGGUGAGUAAUAUAUCGGAACGUGCCCAGUCGUGGGGAUAACGUAGCGAAAGCUACGCUAAUACCGCAUACGAUCUAUGGAUGAAAGCGGGGGAUCGCAAGACCUCGCGCGAUUGGAGCGGCCGAUAUCAGAUUAGGUAGUUGGUGAGGUAAAGGCUCACCAAGCCGACGAUCUGUAGCUGGUCUGAGAGGACGACCAGCCACACUGGGACUGAGACACGGCCCAGACUCCUACGGGAGGCAGCAGUGGGGAAUUUUUGGACAAUGGGCGCAAGCCUGAUCCAGCAAAUGCCGCGUGCAGGAUGAAGGCCU